This 450-nucleotide ribosomal RNA is filed under the name uncultured bacterium. RNAcentral's name for it is "SSU rRNA". It matches the Rfam family "Bacterial small subunit ribosomal RNA", at positions 26 to 518 of the family's 1533-position model. The record is from RNAcentral.
AGAGCGAACGCUGGCGGCAUGCUUAACACAUGCAAGUCGCACGGGCACUUUCGGGUGUCAGUGGCGGACGGGUGAGUAACGCGUAGGUAUCUGUCCAUGGGUGGGGGAUAACGCCGGGAAACUGGUGCUAAUACCGCAUGAUGACUGAGGUCCAAAGGCGCAAGUCGCCUGUGGAGGAGCCUGCGUUCGAUUAGCUUGUUGGUGGGGUAACGGCCUACCAAGGCGACGAUCGAUAGCUGGUCUGAGAGGAUGAUCAGCCACAUUGGGACUGAGACACGGCCCAAACUCCUACGGGAGGCAGCAGUGGGGAAUAUUGGACAAUGGGCGCAAGCCUGAUCCAGCAAUGCCGCGUGGAUGAAGAAGGUCUUCGGAUUGUAAAGUCCUUUCGACGGGGACGAUGAUGACGGUACCCGUAGAAGAAGCCCCGGCUAACUUCGUGCCAGCAGCCGC